GACGAACGCUGGCGGCGUGCUUAACACAUGCAAGUCGAACGGAAAGGCCCUGCUUUUGUGGGCUGCUCGAGUGGCGAACGGGGGAGUAACACGUGAGUAACCUGUCCUUCACUUUGGGAUAACUUCAGGAAACUGGGUCUAAUACCGGAUAGGAGCUCUUGCUGCAUGGUGGGGGUUGGUAAGUUUCGGCGGUUGGGGAUGGACUCGCGGCUUAUCAGCUUGUUGGUGGGGUAGUGGCUGACCAAGGCUUUGACGGGUAGCCGGGCUGAGCGGGUGACCGGACACGUUGGGACUGAGAUACGGCACAGACUCCUACGGGAGGCAGCAGUGGGGAAUAUUGCACUAUGGGCGGAGGGCUGACGUAGCAACGCCGCGUGCGGGAUGACGGCCAUGGGGUUGUAAACCGAUUUCGCCUGUGACGAAGCGUGAGUGACGGUAAUGGGUAAAGAAGCACCGGCUAACUACGUG
Molecule: ribosomal RNA, 468 nt
Filed under: uncultured bacterium
Lineage: Bacteria
Description: partial 16S ribosomal RNA
Rfam family: Bacterial small subunit ribosomal RNA
Source: RNAcentral